Long non-coding RNA from Cyprinus carpio (common carp), 1094 nucleotides. NCBI's taxonomy places the organism in Eukaryota, Metazoa, Chordata, Actinopteri, Cypriniformes, Cyprinidae. The record is from Ensembl.
AUGCAAUAUUUUAUUCAUAUUAUUGGUAUUCAGACUUCUCUACAACACUCUAUUGUAGAGAUCAAUAAUCUCCAUGAAGCUCCAGUUUCUGAAGUCCUCGCUGCUGUAGAGGAACAGCAGGAGCAGGACGUCCUCCAAACUCAGGACAUUCACGCUUCAAUUAGUUCCUCUAAAGAUGAAGCGGAGGAGCCAGACAACACUAAUAGCCAAAUUUUCUGGUGAUAUGAAUUUGGCCCCAAGCUGUUGGGUGAAGGAGGCUAUGGCUAUGUGUGUGCAGGAACUCGAUUCAAGGAAUGCCUUUCGGUUUCAUUGUUUUACUUACUCUUUUUUCACUUACAAAACUUUCCAUAUAUAAAUAUAAAAAGGUGAAACAUAUAAGUUAAUAAUUAGAUAUCUGUCUCAUCUUUUUGAACAGAAUGCUGCCAGAUGAUCUGUGAUUGUGUGCAGCCUGAUCCGCAGCGGAGACUUGUCCUGGAGGAGAUGCAGCUCCAUGACUGGUUUAUUAUAAGAUUAGAGUCCAAGAUUUGCUAAAUGCUUGUUCAUUAAAUCAGUCAAAUUUGCUCUAAAUGUAGUGACUUUAGAUAAAUAACAGUGAUUUAUGUUUUUGUUCCAGGUCGUGGAGUAAAACAUGGAGAGCAAGAAAACAACUACUCUCUGUCACGGCCAAUGUUGUAGUUUUCUUUUUUUGGGUCUUGGGUCAGGUUUGUGUCUGGCAGGUUAACAUGAGCAGCCUUUCCAUCGCUCUGCUUCGGUCUUGGCCUCUUGUUUCCUGGCAGCACCUGCUACCUUGAAGUGGCAUUAUUUAUCAUUUUAGAUAUUUAUAUUAAGAUAUUUGUGUUUGUGAUAGUUAUAAGGAAUUGUAUAAGAAAAAUGUGUAAUUUUUGUAAGUAUAAUAAUAGUAUAAUAAUGUAUUGUUAAUAAGUAUCAUGUGUUAAGAGAAUUUAAGAUAUUUGUAUUUGUAUUAAGAUAUUUAUGUUCUGCGUUAUAUUAGAAGAGUGGCUGUAAUUUGGACUGCUGUAAUCAAUCUAUGUGUGUAUGUGUGUGUGUGUAUGUGUGUGUAUAUAAUAAAUACAUAAACAAAAAGUAGUCUCCCA